CAAAAACAUCGCCUCUUGCAAAAUAAACGAAUAAGAGGUCCCGCCUGCCCAGUGACUAAUAUAGUUAAAUGGCCGCGGUAUUUUAACCGUGCGAAGGUAGCGCAAUCACUUGUCUCUUAAAUGGAGACUGGUAUGAACGGCAUCACGAGGGCUUAGCUGUCUCCCCUCUAAAGUCAAUGAAAUUGAUCUCCCCGUGCAGAAGCGGGGAUAUACUCGUAAGACGAGAAGACCCUAUGGAGCUUAAGAUAUAAAGUUCAACCCACGUCAAACACCUCCUAAAAGAAUAAACAAAAUGGACCUUGCUGAUAUAUCUUCGGUUGGGGCGACCACGGGGAAAGACAAAACCCCCACAUGGACCGGGGCACCCACACCCUAGAACAUAGACCCACAGGUCAAAUCAACAGCACUUCUGACCACCAGACCCGGCAUCAGCCGGCCAAUGAACCAAGUUACCCUAGGGAUAACAGCGCAAUCCCCUCCCAGAGUCCUUAUCGACGAGGGGGUUUACGACCUCGAUGUUGGAUCAGGACAUCCUAAUGGUGCAGCCGCUAUUAAGGGUUCGUUUGUUCAACGAUUAACAGUCCUACGCGAUCUGAGUUCAGACCGGAGAAAUC
This 614-nucleotide ribosomal RNA is filed under the name Benthosema glaciale. RNAcentral's name for it is "partial 16S ribosomal RNA". It matches the Rfam family "Bacterial large subunit ribosomal RNA", at positions 1808 to 2626 of the family's 2925-position model. Lineage: Eukaryota; Metazoa; Chordata; Actinopteri; Myctophiformes; Myctophidae. The record is from RNAcentral.